ACCUAAUAGAUACCCUGGUAGUCCACGCCGUAAACGUUGGGCGCUAGGUGUGGGUCCCUUCCACGGGGUCUGUGCCGCAGCUAAACGCAUUAAGCGCCCCGCCUGGGGAGUACGGCCGCAAGGCUAAAACUCAAAGGAAUUGACGGGGGGCCCGCACAAGCGGCGGAGCAUGUUGCUUAAUUCGACGCAACGCGAAGAACCUUACCAAGGUUUGACAUGGCCGGAAAAACUCAUGGAGACAUGGGGGUCCUUCGGGCCGGUCGACAGGUGGUGCAUGGCUGUCGUCAGCUCGUGUCGUGAGAUGUUGGGUUAAGUCCCGCAACGAGCGCAACCCUCGUCCAAUGUUGCAGCAGGUGAAGCUGGGGACUCAUUGGAGACUGCCGGGUCAACUCGGAGGAAGGUGGGGAUGACGUCAAGUCAUCAUGCCCCUUAUGUCUUGGGCUGCAAACAUGCUACAAUGGCCGGUACAGAGCGCUGCGAGCCUGUGAGGGUGAGCGAAUCGCGGAAA
This 508-nucleotide ribosomal RNA is filed under the name uncultured bacterium. RNAcentral's name for it is "bacterial SSU rRNA". It matches the Rfam family "Bacterial small subunit ribosomal RNA", at positions 771 to 1280 of the family's 1533-position model. The record is from RNAcentral.